CAGAAACGUAAACAAACACGGACAACCGACGGCAAAGAUUGUGUGCAGAAUAAUCGUGAAGUUUUAUGUGAAAACUCGAGAAAAGGAAAACCAUCAUUUCAUUCCGAAAUUUGGCAACAUUCGUCCGAAUAUUGUUGAGCAGCUGUAUGUAUGCCGACGAAAUACGACGCCGUUUCCACAAUAAUCACCAAAGCCGGCUGUGAACAAAAUCGGAACAUCCUCAGAUGGACCAAACCACCGGUCGUUGUGUAUCUUCAAGCAAACCAACGUUGCCACACACCACAAAAUAGCAGGGAAAGAAAUGUGUUGUACGGUGUAUUAUGUGUUUUAUGUUAUUUGUAUCGCUUUGAAAGUGAUACAUUUAGAGCGAUUAAUCGUUGUGCUACAGCUAACUAAAAUACGACCCGAGCGGUAGAAGCGGCAACAAUAAAUGUGCCUGACGCAGAGACAACAACGCCGUCGGCAUCCGUUGAUACCAUCCAUAGUGAUUGAAAUCAAAUUUAAACGUGUAAAACCAUUAUUGGGGCAUGUAAGUAUUGAUUACUAGUUAAAUAAAAUAUAUUUUCUCGUUGUA
Long non-coding RNA from Anopheles merus, 574 nucleotides. RefSeq lists it as uncharacterized. NCBI's taxonomy places the organism in Eukaryota, Metazoa, Arthropoda, Insecta, Diptera, Culicidae. The transcript is spliced from 3 exons. The record is from RefSeq and is a predicted model, not a curated record.